UACUGCUAGGAUACAAGGUGGCCGCAC
RNAcentral lists this non-coding RNA (27 nucleotides) under Bombyx mori (domestic silkworm). Lineage: Eukaryota; Metazoa; Arthropoda; Insecta; Lepidoptera; Bombycidae. The record is from RNAcentral.